GAAAGAGGCCAGAUGCAACAAGAACUGCUAAUUCCUGUCCCCAUGGUUAAAAUCCAUGGCUCAUUCA
Molecule: transfer RNA, 67 nt
Filed under: Helogenes marmoratus
Lineage: Eukaryota; Metazoa; Chordata; Actinopteri; Siluriformes; Cetopsidae
Description: tRNA-Ser (AGY)
Source: RNAcentral